RNAcentral lists this unclassified non-coding RNA (270 nucleotides) under Phlebiella sp. RNAcentral describes it as "partial contains 5.8S ribosomal RNA, internal transcribed spacer 2, and large subunit ribosomal RNA". Lineage: Eukaryota; Fungi; Basidiomycota; Agaricomycetes; Xenasmatellaceae. The record is from RNAcentral.
CGCACCUUGCACUCUCUGGUAUUCCGGAGAGUAUGCCUGUUCGAGUGUCGUGAAGUACUCAACUUGCAGCUUUGUUGCUUGCAAGCUUGGAAUUGGGACCUGUCGGCGCAAGUCGACUGUCCUGAAAUGCAUUAGCCCUGAAUGCGAUCGUCGCAACUAAGCGUGAUAAUCUUUGUCUUCGCUGAAAGUGUUCGUUCGGAGGGGCUCAUAGAAACCCCUUACCUUUUCACCUUUGACCUCGAAUCAGGUAGGAUUACCCGCUGAACUUAA